ACAAUGCCUUGCUAGAUAAAUAUUGCUUGAAUGAUUGAAUGAGGCUGUGGCAUAAUGAGACUUCAUCUCCAAAGACUUCAAAUACCCUGGAGGCCAGUAAUACCUGAUAACUGUUACCAUCUCAUACAUGGCCAGUUUGAUCACUCUGCAGAAUCAAAUGCUGAAUUUAGGCAAAUACAGGGAGUCAACGAACAGGUGGAUUUCUAACAGAAUACCAAUCGAUUCAGCCAGCAUGGGCAGGCCAGCUGUGUCUGUCGAUGCAAUAAUUAGCACCUGGCAGCACCUGUGCAGACCAGCCUGCCAUCAGUGUUUACAAGCCGGAAUUGAAGAGGUCUCUCAGCAAGCUGACCACAAAGGAGUGAAGAGGCAAAUGUUCUCUGAUUUUUUUCAUCAUAAUAUCCUCUGAUGACAUCAGCUGUGUUUGGGAGUUGCCGGUAUGAUUCAGUUUGCUGUUCUAGAAGAAACUUCAACUGAGGUAUUUGGAAAUGUGAUCAUGAAACCACAAUUGUGCAUUAAAAUUCCAAUGCUGUCACUGUUUU
This 539-nucleotide long non-coding RNA is filed under the name Vulpes vulpes (red fox). Its description in RNAcentral is "lncRNA (ENSVVUG00000015353.1)". Lineage: Eukaryota; Metazoa; Chordata; Mammalia; Carnivora; Canidae. The record is from RNAcentral.